CGGGAAGGAAACAACAUUAUGAGGACAAUUCAACGGGAGACAGGAACCUAUAUUUAUUUUGACAAGCAUAGCUUGCUUGUUAGUAUAUUUGGUUCUUUAGACAACGUUGAUAGGGCUCGACAGAGAUUUAUCGAUUCCCUUCUGGCGCUACAUGAAAAUAAACAACUUGAGGUGCAUCUUCGUGGAGGACAUUUGCCUCAUGACCUGAUGAAAAGAGUUGUUCAGACAUUUGGACCAGACCUUAGUGCGCUUAAAGAAAAGGUGCCUGGGGCAGAGUUCUCUCUGAACACAAAGCGCCAUUGCAUCUAUAUGAAUGGUACAAAAGAUAUGAAGCAAAAUGUUGAGGACAUAAUCUCUGAAAUUGCUCAAAGAAGUUUUCCAACUCAAACGACAGGAGAUGAUGCUGACUGUCCUGUUUGCUUGUGUGGACUGGAGGAUCCUUAUAAACUUGAAGCUUGCUGCCAUCUAUUCUGUCGGACAUGCUUGCUAGAGCAGUGCGAGUCUGCAAUCAAAAGCCGGGAAGGUUUCCCCAUAUGCUGUCUUCAUCAAGGUUGUGCGGAACCCAUAUUGCUUGCUGAUUUGAAGUCUUUAUUGUCAAUUGAGAAGUUGGAAGAACUUUUCAGGGCUUCUUUGGGGGCUUUUGUGGCAGCCAAUGGGAGUACCUACCGCUUUUGCCCCUCACCAGACUGCCCUUCAGUUUAUCGCAUUGCAGAUCCCGAUAUGGUUGGUGCACCUUUUGCCUGUGGUGCAUGCUAUGUGGAGACAUGUACGAGUUGCCACAUGGAGUAUCAUCCUUACCUCUCAUGUGAGAUGUACCAGAAAGUUAAAAACGACCCAGAUUGCUCUCUAGAGGAAUGGUCCAAGGGGAAAGAGAACGUAAAGAAAUGUCCCGUUUGCAGAUGUACAAUUGAGAAGGUGGAUGGCUGCAAUCAUAUCGAGUGUAAGUGUGGGAAUCAUGUUUGCUGGGUUUGCUUGCGCUUCUUUGACACCAGUGAUAAUUGCUAUGAUCAUUUGAGGUCUGUUCACCGAUCCAUUACAUGAGAAAUAGGAACCGUAGUUUAUGUAAGCGUGUUCAUGUAACAUAUUUGCACCGAGCAUGUAAUCAAG
RNAcentral lists this unclassified non-coding RNA (1107 nucleotides) under Hevea brasiliensis (rubber tree). Lineage: Eukaryota; Viridiplantae; Streptophyta; Magnoliopsida; Malpighiales; Euphorbiaceae. The record is from RNAcentral.